This 503-nucleotide ribosomal RNA is filed under the name uncultured bacterium. Its description in RNAcentral is "bacterial SSU rRNA". It matches the Rfam family "Bacterial small subunit ribosomal RNA", at positions 25 to 518 of the family's 1533-position model. The record is from RNAcentral.
CAGGAUGAACGCUAGCGGCAGGCCUGACACAUGCAAGUCGCGGGGCAGGCACGGGUAGCAAUACCUGGUGGCGACCGGCGCACGGGUGCGUAACGCGUAUGCAACCUGCCCCCAUCAGGGGGAAUAGCCCGCCGAAAGGCGGAUUAAUGCCCCCAUAGGCCCAGGGCGCCGCAUGGCGCUAUGGGUAAAGCUCCGGCGGAUGGGGAUGGGCAUGCGUGCCAUUAGCUAGUUGGGGCGGUAACGGCGCACCAAGGCGACGAUGGCUAGGGGGGUCUGAGAGGAUGGUCCCCCACACUGGUACUGAGACACGGACCAGACUCCUACGGGAGGCAGCAGUGAGGAAUAUUGGUCAAUGGGCGGAAGCCUGAACCAGCCAAUGCCGCGUGCAGGAUGACGGCCCUACGGGUUGUAAACUGCUUUUCCCCGGGAAGAAUAAGCCCCUCGUGAGGGGUGAUGCCGGUACCGGGGGAAUAAGGAUCGGCUAACUCCGUGCCAGCCGCCGC